This 495-nucleotide ribosomal RNA is filed under the name uncultured Geobacter sp. RNAcentral describes it as "bacterial SSU rRNA". It matches the Rfam family "Bacterial small subunit ribosomal RNA", at positions 8 to 481 of the family's 1533-position model. Lineage: Bacteria; Pseudomonadati; Thermodesulfobacteriota; Desulfuromonadia; Geobacterales; Geobacteraceae. The record is from RNAcentral.
AGAGUUUGAUCAUGGCUCAGAACGAACGCUGGCGGCGUGCCUAACACAUGCAAGUCGAACGAGAAAGUCCUUCGGGAUGAGUAGAGUGGCGCACGGGUGAGUAACGCGUGGAUAAUCUGCCCUGGUAUCUGGGAUAACAUUCCGAAAGGGGUGCUAAUACCGGAUAAGCCCACGGGAUCCUUGGAUCUUGCGGGAAAAGGAGGCCUCUAUUUAUAAGCUUCUGUACCAGGAUGAGUCCGCGUCCCAUUAGCUAGUUGGCGGGGUAAUGGCCCACCAAGGCGACGAUGGGUAGCUGGUCUGAGAGGAUGAUCAGCCACACUGGAACUGAAACACGGACCAGACUCCUACGGGAGGCAGCAGUGAGGAAUAUUGGACAAUGGGCGCAAGCCUGAUCCAGCGACGCCGCGUGAGUGAUGAAGGCCUUUGGGUCGUAAAGCUCUGUCAGCAGGGAAGAACGGCCGUGCGGUUAAUACCCGUGCGGAUUGACGGUACCUG